Oncorhynchus keta (chum salmon) is the source of this 2748-nucleotide long non-coding RNA. RefSeq lists it as uncharacterized. The record is from RefSeq and is a predicted model, not a curated record. The transcript has 5 exons. NCBI's taxonomy places the organism in Eukaryota, Metazoa, Chordata, Actinopteri, Salmoniformes, Salmonidae.
GUGAGAUAAGGAGAGGGAGAAGAGUUUGCAGACAUAAAAACAAAAGGGGUUAGACCAGGGAUGGUCAACUUUGAUGGGGGCCACAAAAAAUCACAAGGGGCCUUAGUGGCUCGCGGGUCUGCGUACCAACAUUCAUACCCACACAAGCAGUCAGAGUAGGCAUUAGCCUUUUGGGGACCAAAGAAACAUUUUUGCUAAAUCUUCUCUCCUUCCCAUGGCAAAAUGUGUAUAAUUGCAGAAUUUAAAUUUUCUGAAGACAUUUUAUUGCUUUAUACACAUUUUGCCAUGGGGCGUAGAGAAAAUGUUACAGUUUUAAAGCAAGUUUGCUGCAAUUAUACACAUUUUGUCAUAGGGUGGAGAGAAAUGUUUGUAGUUUUUAAUAUGAUAUUUGAGUGAGAGUGACUAACAAAAUCAAUCGGGGUCCCACGUCAGUAAUUCAACCAUGACUACUACAACUUUAGAUAGCUGAUAUGGGCUAAUUGAGUGAUUGUCAGUGUAACGGAUGUGAAACAGCUAGCUUAGUUAACGGUGGUGCGCGCUAAAUAGCGUUUCAAUCGGUGAUGUCACUUGCUCUGAGACCUUGAAGUAGUAGUUCCCCUUGCUCUGCAAGGGCCGCAGCUUUUGUGGAGCGAUGGGUAACGAUGCUUCGUCGGUGACUGUUGUUGAUGUAUGCAGAGGGUCCCUGGUUCGCGCCCGGGUAUGGGCGAGGGGACGGUCUAAAGUUAUACUGUUACAUCAGUGACUGACAAGAGAAAAACUGCUGAUGUACAACCACAUUUCAAAAUUGCACCCUGUGUAUUCUACUAUUCUAACUCUCAGACCCAAAUGAGUUCCAUUUGUUUUUUGGGAAAUUGAUCCGCGGGCCUAGUACCCCACCCCUGAAUUAGACAGUAAGAGGGACAGAGAAACAGAGAGAGAGGGGAUGGAGGGGGGGGACAGAGGUGUUUGCAGAGAAAGCAGCCAGACAAGGAAGCAGCAUUUUAUUGAACCCAGGCAGUUAGCUUGUGGGUUAAUCUCUCUCUCUCUGAUGUGGUCUGCUGUGGGGCUAACACUGCCUCCCCAGCCUCCGUGUCAAAGUCAAGCAGUCGCAACAGACCAUGUACAAGGGCCAGCCUGCUUAGUUAAUGGCAGUUUAUAUGCAUGCCUAUCAAUGUUAGCAACGCUCUCGUCUGAGGUCUCCGGGAGACGACAGACAUGAAAGAUGGCCUUAGAAGUAAUGGCGGUUGAGUUGUUCAGGGCCACUUCGUUUGAUUACCUGUGUGUGUGGUUCAACAACUCAAGAGUUAAACCCUCCCCCCUCCACAAAUAUGGAGCUUCCUCUCUUUCAUUCAAAACCCCCCACAUACAUGGAGCUCAGUCUUUGAACAUUCCAAACAAAUACUGCAGAGGAUAACUAUCUUACAGGGAUUUGGGGCAAAACAUGAUGCGUGUGAACGUCAUGUGGGAUUUGGAUAAGGAUUUGUGUAGGUUGCUCUUCACUGAUGUGUAGGGUAAACACAGCGGGAUAAGGAUUUGUGUAGGUUGCUCUUCACUGAUGUGUAGGGCAAACACAGCGGGAUAAGGAUUUGUGUAGGUUGCUCUUCACUGAUGUGUAGGGUAAACACAGCGGGAUAAGGAUUUGUGUAGGUUGCUCUUCACUGAUGUGUAGGGUAAACACAGCGGGAUAAGGAUUUGUGUAGGUUGCUCUUCACUGAUGUGUAGGGUAAACACAGCGGGAUAAGGAUUUGUGUAGGUUGCUCUUCACUGAUGUGUAGGGUAAACACAGCGGGAUAAGGAUUUGUGUAGGUUGCUCUUCACUGAUGUGUAGGUUAAACACAGCGGGAUAAGGAUUUGAGUAGGUUGCUCUUCACUGAUGUGUAGGGUAAACACAGCGGGAUAAGGAUUUGUGUAGGUUGCUCUUCACUGAUGUGUAGGGUAAACACAGCGGGAUAAGGAUUUGUGUAGGUUGCUCUUCACUGAUGUGUAGGGCAAACACAGCGGGAUAAGGAUUUGUGUAGCUUGCUCUUCACUGAUGUGUAGGGCAAACACAGCGGGAUAAGGAUUUGUGUAGGUUGCUCUUCACUGAUGUGUAGGGUAAACACAGCGGGAUAAGGAUUUGUGUAGGUUGCUCUUCACUGAUGUGUAGGGUAAACACAGCGGGAUAAGGAUUUGUGUAGGUUGCUCUUCACUGAUGUGUAGGGUAAACACAGCGGGAUAAGGAUUUGUGUAGGUUGCUCUUCACUGAUGUGUAGGGUAAACACAGCGGGAUAAGGAUUUGUUUCGUUUAUGGAUUGAGAUUUAAGUCAAGGUCUGUCAGUGUCACAGUGGGGGGAGAGUGUAUGAGUGUCUGUGUGUUUGAGAGAGGGAAUUAGGGUGUGUGUACUGUAUGUAUGUGUGGGGGGAGAGAUGCUAGCUGCUGGGGUCGUUCAGGAACUUCUCUGCAAGUGUGUGUGUGUUGCUGAGUGUGUGGGCACCAGGUCUGGUUGUGAUUUAAUGAGGACCACAGGGUGAGUGAUCCACAGCAGGCGCUUUUUCUAGGCCACGAGCCUAAUCAGAUUGAAGUGAGGAGAAUCAGGUUAAAGAGUUGGGAAGGCCAAAACAAGAGGAGUCAUUCUGGUGUUUUUUAUCUUUUUUAUUCCUGGGGUUGUAACCUGUAGCAUGUUGCUUGUGUUUUGUCAUUUAAAAAUGUCUCUCGGUAGUCUCUAUUCAUUUUGUUGAAAUGUGUUUUUUUUAAACUUACCAUUUAAAUGUAAAUUAUCAGUUAUACUA